CCCUAAACGGCCGCGGCACUAAAACCGUGCAAAGGUAGCACAAUCACUUGUCCAUUAAAUGAGGACCCGUAUGAAAGGCAACAUGAGAGAAAACCUGUCUCCUAAGGCCCGCCAAUGAAAUUGUACUACCAGUACAAAAACUGAUAUCUCAAAGCAAGACAAAAAGACCCUGUGGAACUUUUAACAAAUUGUUUAAACACAUAAACAACAGUUUCAGUUGGGACAACUUUAGAAAAAAUAAACUUCUUAAUUUACCAAGACAAACAAGUCUAAGACAACACAGAUCCAGUAAUACUGAUUAACGAAACAAGCUACCCCAGGGAUAACAGCGCCACCUUCUCAAAGAGUCCAUAUCAACAAGAAGAUCUACGACCUCGAUGUUGGAUCAGGGUACCCAGACGGUGCAACAGCUGUCAAUGGUUCGUUUGUUCAACGAUUAAUACCCUACGUGAUCUGAGUUCAGA
RNAcentral lists this ribosomal RNA (464 nucleotides) under Trioceros sternfeldi. RNAcentral's name for it is "partial 16S ribosomal RNA". It matches the Rfam family "Bacterial large subunit ribosomal RNA", at positions 1921 to 2615 of the family's 2925-position model. The record is from RNAcentral. Lineage: Eukaryota; Metazoa; Chordata; Lepidosauria; Squamata; Chamaeleonidae.